GGAGGGCGCAAGCGUUGUUCGGAAUCAUUGGGCGUAAAGCGCGUGUAGGCGGCUUGGUUAGUCGGAUGUGAAAGCCCGGGGCCCAACCCCGGAAUUGCAUUCGAAACUGCCUCGCUAGAGUCCCGGAGAGGAGAGCGGAAUUCCCGGUGUAGAGGUGAAAUUCGUAGAUAUCGGGAGGAACACCAGCGGCGAAGGCGGCUCUCUGGACGGUGACUGACGCUGAGACGCGAAAGCGUGGGGAGCAAACAGGAUUAGAUACCCUGGUAGUCCACGCCGUAAACGUUGGGUGCUAGGUGUCGCGGGUAUUGACCCCCCUGCGGUGCCGUCGCUAACGCAUUUAGCACCCCGCCUGGGGAGUACGGUCGCAAGACUA
This 373-nucleotide ribosomal RNA is filed under the name uncultured organism. Its description in RNAcentral is "partial 16S ribosomal RNA". It matches the Rfam family "Bacterial small subunit ribosomal RNA", at positions 527 to 896 of the family's 1533-position model. The record is from RNAcentral.